RNAcentral lists this non-coding RNA (29 nucleotides) under Homo sapiens (human). The record is from RNAcentral. Lineage: Eukaryota; Metazoa; Chordata; Mammalia; Primates; Hominidae.
UUACGUAUUCAGAGUAAUGGCUUGCUUGA